CACGUAGGCACCAAGCGUUGUCCGGAUUUAUUGGGCGUAAAGAGCUCGUAGGCGGUUCGGUAAGUCGGGUGUGAAAACUUUGGGCUCAACCCAAAGCGUGCACUCGAUACUGCCAUGACUAGAGUUCGGUAGGGGAGUGGGGAAUUCCUAGUGUAGCGGUGAAAUGCGCAGAUAUCAGGAGGAACACCGGUGGCGAAGGCGGGUCUCUGGGCCGUAACUGACGCUGAGGAGCGAAAGCGUGGGGAGCGAACAGG
This 254-nucleotide ribosomal RNA is filed under the name uncultured bacterium. RNAcentral's name for it is "partial 16S ribosomal RNA". It matches the Rfam family "Bacterial small subunit ribosomal RNA", at positions 524 to 776 of the family's 1533-position model. The record is from RNAcentral.